RNAcentral lists this long non-coding RNA (1199 nucleotides) under Homo sapiens (human). Its description in RNAcentral is "HSALNT0287400". The record is from RNAcentral. Lineage: Eukaryota; Metazoa; Chordata; Mammalia; Primates; Hominidae.
GCCACAGGGAAUUCACAUCUUAAGCAGAGGAGGACUCUGCUCUCUUCAGCUCCUGUGGUGACCUGGGAAUCUAUCUGUGAGGUGGAGGGCCUGUUAGCAAGACUCCAUAUCACUUUGCUGAGAGGUUUUUUUCCUUUUUUCCUUUUCACCCAGUAAAUUCCUCUCUAAUCACCCUUCAACAUGUCUGUGCACCCAAUCCUUCCUGGUCAUGUGACAAGAACUUGUUUUUUUCUACAUUUUUGGUGGCCUGUAUGGGGACAUGGGAAAAGUGUAGGGCAUGAGUUCCUGGCUGCCCCAUAAGGAAGGAAACUGCCAGAAGCCCUUUAGAAUGAAGAAAAGUGAGAAGAUUCUUGGAAAGUGGACUGAGCUUUUAACUCUGCAAGGGACCCUCAGCCCUCUUGGCAUACUGAAGUGAACACUCUGCAGCUAAGCACCACUGAAUCCAGCAGGACUUGAGACUUCAUCAUCUGCCAAAAAUGAGCUUUCCUAACAACAUGGGACCUAUUUGUCUAAAAAUAAACUGUCCUAGCCACAAGAGAUGAGACAAAACCCAAGACCACAGACUCAUUUUCUUCUAAAAUGCUCUGUCUGAAAGAUUUUAAGAAGAAAACGGGAGAGAAAUAUAAAAAGAAAAUAAAAACUUGGGACCCCAAUUCACUAUGCCAAAAGGGAAAAAAUUAAGCUGAAAGCUGAGUAAUGCAAGAAGCUGCCUUUCUUUUUGUUCCUAAGCAAAUAGCUACAGAUAAAAGGUUUAGUAUCUCCACAGGUAGCUACUCUAGGUUCACUUUAUCUUAUGUAAAGUGCUGAUUUGCAGAGCAUGAGAUGAAUACAUAGUUGACCCUUCCCCUAACCGCUCCUUUUCUCUUGCAAUAUGUGGAUUCAGUAAUGUGACCAUACCCUACCUCUUUCCCCUCCAGCCUGCUUUUCCCCAUUAAAUAUUGAAGCCCUCAAAAUAAUACUUGGAGAAAGGCAUAGACAUAUCACCCAGGUGGGUCCUUAACCUUUGCAAAAUAAACUUCUAAAUUGAUUGAGACCUGUCUCAGAUACUUUUUGGUUUACAAUAUAAUAUGAAAAGUAUUCUUUAAUCUGCAUGCAUGGAAAACUAUUCAUACUGGAAAAUAAAAUGUUACCUAACAUAUUUUAAUUAAAAAAAAAUUGCAACCACCUCAAAAUUGAAGAAGUAAAAACUCACAAACAAC